AGCGGCGGCGUCAGCAACUUCAGCAGCAGCACACGACUUCCUAGACAUCAUUGUACUCGUGGUUUUAGCCCAUGCUCUGCGGAGUUUAUGAGCCAGCAAUAAAGCAGCCGAGAAAGGGCACUCAACUACUACCCUGCCUGGUGCCCCUUUGUGCCCGCUCUGCCAGGUUUCACGAAGAAAUCCACCACAGGCAAUGGAUGAAUUUAUCUUCUCUGCAUCUAAACUGCCAGGGCUUAUUUACCCUCCUCCGUAUAAUUAAGACAAUAUUCACCCAAAUUGUUUUCUGCUGAGCCUGCUUCUCCGUGGAAUCCCACGUGAGAAGGCUGCUCUGGCGGCAUGAGGUACCCAGGCCCACAGGCAAUUCAGAAAGCUCAGGAUCCUCACUGUGGACCCACUUUCCGCCUUAGUGAAUGUAAAUUUUUCUGUGUUCAACAAUCAACGACCAAGAGGCUUGUGAGCAGACCGUGCGUGCCCUGGCUCCUCCAGGCUGCUGAGCACGCCCCAUCACCUGAUGGAUGCUGGCUACGCUGGUUUCUCAACAGGCAAGAUCAACCUGACAGAUGCUCCCUGGACAGAGAUUUUCCUGCCAAAUGAUGGAAGCUCUGGCCUUUGUGCCUGUUGUGGAAUUGGAAAAAGAUGGAGUAUCUCAUAUUAAGGCAGUAAAAUGGAGCCUGGUGGACAUGAUGGGAGAGGAACAAAUUCCUCCUUCAGGAUGAACUCUUGAGCUUAUUUAAUGCCUGAAAUGCGACUUCGAGUCUUCUCAAGGAAGAUAAGAUUACUGGGACAGAGAUCCCAUUCCUGUCAGGAAGAUAAGAUUAUCAGGACAGAGACCCCAUGCCUGUCAGCCAUCUCCCACAUUCCUAAGUUUAAUGGCUUGUUUCACCUGACCCUCACGCUGAUGAUUACCUUGCGCCUGGAAUUUGUUACAAGACGUUCCUUCCCUCUUUUUUUCUUUGUCUUUAUUAGCCACAACUGUAAAACCUACAAAACCUUCCUUCCCCCUUCAAUGACUGAAUGCAAUCCAAGUGCUGCUUGAAUCUGUGCUUCCCGGGCUACAGUCCUAACAAACGUCAAAUAAACUCCUUUUUGUUUCAGGUUUACCAGAGUCUGCCUCAUAGUUGAUCGACACUGUGGUUGCAUAAAAGUUUUUAAUUUUGAUGAAGUCCAAUUUAUCAAUUUUUUCUUUUGUUGCCUGUAUCUUUGCUGUCAUAUCCAAGAAAUCACUGGCAAAUUGAAUAUCGUGAAGAUUUUCCCCUAUGUUUUCCUCUAAGAGUUUUAUAGUUUUAGCUCUUACAUUUAGGUGUUUGAGCCAUUGUGAACUAAUUUUUGUUUAUGGUCUGAGGUAAGUAUCCAACUUCAUUCUUUUGCAUGCAGGUAUCCAGUUUUCCCAAC
RNAcentral lists this long non-coding RNA (1392 nucleotides) under Equus caballus (horse). RNAcentral describes it as "lncRNA (ENSECAG00000033979.2)". Lineage: Eukaryota; Metazoa; Chordata; Mammalia; Perissodactyla; Equidae. The record is from RNAcentral.